UGUGUCUGUGUGUGUGUGUGUUUGCUUGAGUGUGCGCGCUUGCGUGUAUGCAAUAAGAGAGGUAGGGGGGGGCCUAAGGUUGCUUACAGAGGAAUCUAAUCUCGCACUACGCCUCCCUGGUUGCCGAGUGUGUGUGUGUGUGUGUGUGUGUGUGUGUGUGUGUGUGUGUGUGUGUGUGUGUGUGUGUGUGUGUGUGAUGUUGUAGCCACUGUCGCCUUAGCAGCAAAUAGAGCCUUCAGUGGCGUACUAGGGCUUAUCUUAGUGGUGGUGAGCAGGUAGUGAGGGCCAGCGUGUCCUCAGCGUGGUGUGUGGGUGUGAAUGUCGGGUAUGUGUGGGUGGCAGUGAGGGAGAGGAGCGUCAAGGGCACCGUUGAUUAGGAAAGAUGCUGCCUGCCGGGGGUUUCAUCCUUGAAGCACUUUUUCCCUCCGAUAAAUAUUGCAUGAGCAUCACAGCCUCGCCACAGGUUGAGCUGGAAGUUUCACAGAGUUGGUCGUCUGUUUGUAAAUCUUCCUACAGCUCGAAAUAAAUAUUUGGGUAGCCGCUGAGUUUAUGCACCGCGCCAUGUGUGAAGUCCUGCACCGAGACUUUUUCCGUUUCCUGCUUCAUAUUUCUUGUGAAUAUUUUUCUGGCUCAAAGCAAACCUUACUUUUCCAAUACAUUACUGGGACCAGGACGCGCUGUGAACUGUGCGAGUGUGGGAGAAACACCACCACCACCACCACCACCACCACCACCACCACCACCACCACCACCACAGCCUCCUACGGGACUCGCCUCAACAUGUCCUGCCUGCUUCAGUGCCGUCUCGCCGCCGCCUCUCUCGUGGCAGCGCCCGGCAGACUCCCCUGGGACGUCUCGCCCUUAUAUAUCUGAGCCGCCGCCGUCCUUUCUUCAGAAGUUUCUCCAGCGGGUUUUGGUAUUUCAAGACCCUUUGAUAUUUUCUGGUGAGAGACGCUGGUUCCUCCCUCCCCGAUGGCUCUUGUUUGCCUCCUCCCUCAGCCCCUCCCUCUCACCCCCGUCCCCUCAGCUCCUGCCGUGUCUGCAGUGCCUCAGAUCAUCCCGUGCGCUUCUCUUCAGUUCAUUUCCCCGUGUGCCUCUUCCCAGUUCAUAUUCUGUACUGGUGUCUGGUUCGCCUCUUUGAUUCUCGCCGCCACCAGACAGCGGCAUCGACUUCUGCAGGCUUCUUCACUUACUCCACAGCGGCUCUUUAAUUCCCCAGCGAUAGAAUACCCUGCUGUGUGAGUGGCGACCGUUCAGAGCGACGCCCACCCGAGAUACGAGUCCUGCCCAGCCACGGUAAUUGUUCGCUUGGUCAAGAUUGGAGUACCUGUGCCCGCCUUCCCCUCGGUUUGACAGGU
Scylla paramamosain (green mud crab) is the source of this 1358-nucleotide long non-coding RNA. RefSeq lists it as uncharacterized. The transcript is spliced from 3 exons. The record is from RefSeq and is a predicted model, not a curated record. NCBI's taxonomy places the organism in Eukaryota, Metazoa, Arthropoda, Malacostraca, Decapoda, Portunidae.